This 463-nucleotide ribosomal RNA is filed under the name uncultured bacterium. RNAcentral describes it as "partial 16S ribosomal RNA". It matches the Rfam family "Bacterial small subunit ribosomal RNA", at positions 28 to 507 of the family's 1533-position model. The record is from RNAcentral.
GACGAACGCUGGCGGCGUGCUUAACACAUGCAAGUCGAACGGAAAGGCCUUUUCGGCGGUACUCGAGUGGCGAACGGGUGAGUAACACGUGGGUGAUCUGCCCUGCACUCUGGGAUAAGCCUGGGAAACUAGGUCUAAUACCGGAUAGGACCGCACUUUAGUGUGUGUGGUGGAAAGUUUUUUCGGUGUAGGAUGAGCCCGCGGCCUAUCAGCUUGUUGGUGGGGUAAUGGCCUACCAAGGCGGCGACGGGUAGCCGGACUGAGAGGUUGGUCGGCCACAUUGGGACUGAGAUACGGCCCAGACUCCUACGGGAGGCAGCAGUGGGGAAUAUUGCACAAUGGGCGCAAGCCUGAUGCAGCGACGCCGCGUGGGGGAUGACGGCCUUCGGGUUGGAAACUCCUUUCGCCAGGGACGAAGCGUUUUGUGACGGUACCUGGAGAAGAAGCACCGGCUAACUACGUG